UAGGGAAUCUUGCGCAAUGGGCGAAAGCCUGACGCAGCGACGCCGCGUGAGCGAUGAAGGCCUUCGGGUCGUAAAGCUCUGUGGGGAGGGACAAAUAAGGUUUGGCUAACAUCCAAAUCGAUGACGGUACCUCCUUAGCAAGCACCGGCUAACUCUGUGCCAGCAGCCGCGGUAAGACAGAGGGUGCAAACGUUGUUCGGAAUUACUGGGCGUAAAGCGCGUGUAGGCGGCCGCGCAAGUCGGGCGUGAAAUCCCACGGCUCAACCGUGGAAGUGCACUCGAAACUGCGCAGCUGGAGUCCUGGAGAGGAAGGUGGAAUGCUUGGUGUAGAGGUGAAAUUCGUAGAUAUCAAGCGGAACACCGGUGGCGAAGGCGGCUUUCUGGACUGCACCUGACGCUGAGGCGCGAAAGCCAGGGGAGCAAA
RNAcentral lists this ribosomal RNA (424 nucleotides) under uncultured bacterium. RNAcentral's name for it is "bacterial SSU rRNA". It matches the Rfam family "Bacterial small subunit ribosomal RNA", at positions 355 to 772 of the family's 1533-position model. The record is from RNAcentral.